This 375-nucleotide ribosomal RNA is filed under the name uncultured bacterium. RNAcentral describes it as "bacterial SSU rRNA". It matches the Rfam family "Bacterial small subunit ribosomal RNA", at positions 521 to 896 of the family's 1533-position model. The record is from RNAcentral.
UAAUACGUAGGCAGCAAGCGUUGUUCGGAAUUACUGGGCGUAAAGAGUGUGUAGGUGGUGUCGUAAGUUUGGUGUGAAAUCUCCCGGCUUAACUGGGAGGGUGCGCCGAAGACUGCGAUGCUGGAGUAUGGGAGAGGAAAGCGGAAUUCCUGGUGUAGCGGUGAAAUGCGUAGAUAUCAGGAGGAACACCUGCGGUGUAGACGGCUUUCUGGACCAUUACUGACACUGAGACACGAAAGCGUGGGUAGCAAACAGGAUUAGAUACCCUGGUAGUCCACGCCCUAAACGAUGCAUACUUGGUGUGAGCCAUUCAGUUGGUUCGUGCCGGAGCUAACGCGUUAAGUAUGCCGCCUGGGGAGUACGGUCGCAAGGCUG